RNAcentral lists this microRNA precursor (129 nucleotides) under Callithrix jacchus (white-tufted-ear marmoset). RNAcentral describes it as "microRNA cja-mir-519b precursor". Its record names the gene cja-mir-519b. The stretch from base 20 to 105 matches the Rfam family "mir-515 microRNA precursor family". Lineage: Eukaryota; Metazoa; Chordata; Mammalia; Primates; Cebidae. The record is from miRBase by way of RNAcentral.
CGGUGCCGGAGCAAGAUGGCCUCUGGCUGUGACCUCUUGACGGAAGCACUUUCUGUUUUCUGAAAGCAAAGAAAGUGUCUCCGUUAAGAGGGUCACUGCCUGAGAAAAGCAUCACUGAAGCUGGCGCUG